AACAAAUCGAAAGGCACCGGAACGCAGACAAAUAGAUCGCGAGAGAAAGUAGAUAAAUCGCAUAAUUUCACAUCACAAAAACGAUAAUAUAGGCAAUCUUGAGCAUCGGGGCAACUCGUCACUUCAUCAAAACGGACCUGCUGCAGGCUGACCACGUAACGGCGGGAACGAUAUGUGAUGCACCAGCAUCAUCGGAGGCAGGCAGAGAUCUUCUACAUGAAACAUUUUAUAGCCGUGCCUCAUUUGACUGCUGUUAGGUGCGAACGAUGGAUAAUGCGCACGGGCACAACAGGAGACGAUUGCUGUGUAACUGUGUUUAUGUGUACAUGUAGGAAGCCGUGUAUAUGUUUCUGCAUAAAUAUGUUGAAAUAUGGUAAGAACAAGAAAAAAACGAGGCGUUCAGACAACAAAACGAUCGAAAAGAGCCGCCGCGAUACUGAUCAUAAUGAUCCAGUGGCAAUGGCCAGUCGUUCCGUUCAUCGAUGCGAUGUCCGAACGAUGAUAAUAAACCAUCUCGGAUAUAUGGUAUAUACCAUAUGUGCUCAGAUAUAUAGUAUAUACGGGACAUUGUGCUUACGACGUGCAUUUUUAGAACAAGAUUCCCUUCCGCAAGAUGCAUUGGAGAUAAAAACGUGGCAUUGGCCAACGAUUUUUAGGACACAAUAAUAAGGUUGUUGUUACAGAUUGUUAUUACAUUUCGUUGACGUUAUGGAUACUCCGUCGUCUAACACUGUGUCUCGUUGUUACCGCCGCCGUUAUUGUUAUGCCCGUUGUCAUGCCAUGCCAAAUUGUAUAUGCAAACAAGAUCAUUUACGCCAACUGUUACCAUCUUUUCUGGUCGAUCCUUCGUUUCGUUACUGGUUCUUCGCGAGUCAGCUCGCUCAGCCACUUCGCUCUGGACCCGUUGAGGCUUCGCUGUUUAUCUUAACGACAUAAGAAUAGCAUUGACACAAGGACGCAAAUAUAGAUACGAUGGUAGGCGUCUGACGACGUACAGCGCUCACCGAUCGCCGCAUAUUUCCAUACAACCGUAUUUGCAAUUGGAACCGCCUGCUUACGCUUCAGAGCUGUGCUUAUCCAGUUUUCUGAAGGAAAUGACAAAAGCAGCAAUAUUGAUCCGGGUUCUUAUCAUUACCAACACUGUUACUAUUAGAAUUAAAUGGUUAUUGUGAUCAGUCUACUUGAUGUUUCGGAUCCUGUCACACACACACACACGUUCUUGUUACAGCCGGCGGGCGACACGGGUAUGGAGCGCACGAAAUGGUCACUAAGAGAUAUUGUCACCUGAUCAAUGAUAAUUGUAUUACACUCGAUCGGAUAUAUUACCCGGACAAAACUUACCAGCGUUGUUAUUCGCUCUUCCUUUGUAAACUUCUAACCGACCACUAAAUAUAUUAAGACGAUAUAAAAGUGUGACCUGGCACGAAGCGGAAACAAGUACCGAAGAGAAAUAUGAUUCACGAAGGCCCUUUUAUUUACAUAAACAGCCUGCGACGCUGGUCAUGAUCGUGACACAAUUGUGCGUUAACGCGAUAAAUAGACAUUAUUCAACGGGUCGCUUGGAAUCGUGGAAGCAUGAGCUGAGAGCACGUGCAUGUGACAGUAGAUUGAGUGACUCUAAAUUGGAUUAUACCGACGAAACUCUGAUUGAGAUCUACAUCUAUCGGCCGUAGUAAUUCUGGGUCGAUAGAAAGUUUCAAAAUGAUUCAGGACAGGUAGCCGGCAGUGGCUUUUUGCUUUGUUUGACGCCUCAGCCCCCCGAACUCGGGCAUAUGCAGCUGGAAAACAAUAAAUGUAUGAGUUAAAUCAUCGAACGGUUUGACAAUAAAAUUUGUCCUAAGCUCA
This 1845-nucleotide long non-coding RNA is filed under the name Varroa destructor (honeybee mite). RNAcentral describes it as "uncharacterized LOC111252087". Lineage: Eukaryota; Metazoa; Arthropoda; Arachnida; Mesostigmata; Varroidae. The record is from RNAcentral.